AUGGAAAGAUUCUGCCCCUUUUUAGGGUGAAAAGAAAAACCACAUCCAAUCUUCCGGCACAUGUCCAAGCAGUUCAAGAUCGGGAAAGGAAUGACAAAAGAUUAGUGGACUUGAUUAUCACAUCAAAAUCAGCUGAGCAGCAUUUGGUGGAUAUACUCGGUGGGAAAAAGUCAAAUUGGUUUCCACUAAAACCCCGUUCUCAAGUGCCUGUCUACAUUGAGAAUGAGCAGUCCCAGUCAAUCAUUUGUGACUACAUCAGAGGAAUUCUUAAUAAAACCAAAACACAGCUGACCUUCAAUGAUGAGGUGGAGUUCAUUUGUGGAUGUCUCCUCCCAGAGGCCAUAACUCAUGGCAUUUCCGAGUUACAAGGCUUGUCUUGGCAGGAGGCUGAAGAUGUCUUCCUCCAGGGCCCCAUUUAUCA
Molecule: long non-coding RNA, 421 nt
Organism: Danio aesculapii
Lineage: Eukaryota; Metazoa; Chordata; Actinopteri; Cypriniformes; Danionidae
Exons: 3
Source: RefSeq, a predicted model, not a curated record